UAGGGAAUUUUGGACAAUGGGCGAAAGCCUGAUCCAGCAACGCCGCGUGCGCGAUGAAGGCCUUCGGGUUGUAAAGCGCUUUUAGAGGAGAUGAGAAAGGACAGUAUCCUCUGAAUAAGCCUCGGCGAACUACGUGCCAGCAGCCGCGGUAAAACGUAGGAGGCUAGCGUUAUCCGGAUUUAUUGGGCGUAAAGCGUGUGCAGGCGGUUUGGUAAGUUGGAUGUGAAAGCUCCUGGCUUAACUGGGAGAGGUCGUUCAAAACUGCCAGACUAGAGAAUGGGAGAGGGAGAUGGAAUUCCGGGUGUAGUGGUGAAAUGCGUAGAUAUCCGGAGGAACACCAGUGGCGAAAGCGGUCUCCUAGACCAUUUCUGACGCUUAAACACGAAAGCUAGGGUAGCAAACGGG
Molecule: ribosomal RNA, 405 nt
Filed under: uncultured Pelolinea sp.
Lineage: Bacteria; Bacillati; Chloroflexota; Anaerolineae; Anaerolineales; Anaerolineaceae
Description: bacterial SSU rRNA
Rfam family: Bacterial small subunit ribosomal RNA
Source: RNAcentral